Molecule: unclassified non-coding RNA, 308 nt
Organism: Erinaceus europaeus (western European hedgehog)
Lineage: Eukaryota; Metazoa; Chordata; Mammalia; Eulipotyphla; Erinaceidae
Gene: 7SK
Rfam family: 7SK RNA
About the family: 7SK was discovered as an abundant small nuclear RNA in the mid-70s but a possible function has only recently been suggested. Two independent studies have found that 7SK RNA binds the CDK9/cyclin T complex (known as elongation factor P-TEFb). P-TEFb activates transcription by phosphorylating the C-terminal domain of RNA polymerase II.
Source: Ensembl
GGAUGUGAGGGCGAUCUGGCUGCGACAUCUGUCACCCCCCUGAUCGCCAGGGUUGAUUCGGCUGAUCUGGCUGGCUAGGUGGGUGUCCCCUACCUUCCUCACCACUGUGCGUCCCUCCGGAAGCUGCGCUCUCGGUGGAAGAGGACGGCCUUCCCUGAAUAGAGACGGACCGGUCUUUGGUUAAGGGUAUACAAGUUGUUGUGCUCCCCUGCUAGAACCUCCAAACAAGCUCUCAAGGUUAUAUGACAUAACUGGUGACCUUCAGAAGAGGGUGAGAUGCCAGUGGUAUCCAGAGAAAAACUAUCCUG